This 1886-nucleotide ribosomal RNA is filed under the name Mexicotyle sp. Brazil. RNAcentral's name for it is "eukaryotic LSU rRNA". It matches the Rfam family "Eukaryotic large subunit ribosomal RNA", at positions 41 to 1488 of the family's 3401-position model. Lineage: Eukaryota; Metazoa; Platyhelminthes; Monogenea; Mazocraeidea; Thoracocotylidae. The record is from RNAcentral.
UAUCAUUAACGGAGGAAAAGAACUAACCGGGAUUCCCUUAGUAACGGCGAGUGAACAGGGAUUAGCCCAGCACCGAAGCCUGCGUCCGUUUGGGCGUUAGGCAAUGUGGUGUUUAGGUUCUGCGCUUUUGGUUACUACUUUGUUCCAAGUCCAAUCUUGAAUAUGGCGUUUGUUUGGCCCAGAGAGGGUGAAAGGCCCGUAUGGACAGAGUGGUAUCUGACUGCGUAGACCGUGAAGUCGGGUUGUUUGAGAAUGCAGCCCAAAGUUGGUGGUAAACUCCAUCUAAGGCUAAAUACUGGCACGAGUCCGAUAGCGAACAAGUACCGUGAGGGAAAGUUGAAAAGUACUCUGAAGAGAGAGUAAACAGUGCGUGAAACCGUUCGGAGGCAACGGGUGUAGUCAAGCUGCAAGCCUUGAGAAAUUGGCGGAUCAGAAUGGCGUGAGCCUGGGCACGUAGAGCUGGUAAUAGGUCUGUCUGGUAAGACAGGUUCGGCUCGCAAGGGUCGGAUUUGUGAAGUGUCAUUUGAUGCUGCAUGCCUGUUAUCGGUUGCUCUGCUGGUCCGUUGACUUUCUCAUGGCGUAUGUCACGACCGUCGCAGCUGUCGGUCUGCUUCGUCUAAACCGGAGCGUAAGAUGCCUUGUGUUUCUUGCGUUUCGGGGGCAGGUGGCUAGUCUGGCUUCGCGCUGGGCUGGUGUAAUCGCUGGGCGAAGUGGUAUCUGUGCAGUACGGCGGGGCUGGCGGUGCGUGGUACUGGGCGUGCUAAAGUGUGUCGGCAUGGCGUGAGUCUGGCUGCAUGUUGCUGCUUCGGCGGCCUUGUAGUGGCUCUGCUAUGGUUUGAUGUGCGGCUGCGCCUAGUCACCUUCGCGUUGUGCCUAUAGUCUGUGGCGUAGUGGUAGACGAUCCACCCGACCCGUCUUGAAACACGGACCAAGGAGUUUAACAUGUGCGCGAGUCAAUGGGUAGUGCUUUGCAUACGAAACCCAAAGGCGCAGUGAAAGUGAAAGGUUGGCAUCCCCGCCUUCCUGAGGUGAGAUCCUGCUGUUUCUCGGGCACUUUGAUCAGGCACUAGAGCAGUGGGCGCAUCACCGGCCCGUCCCAUGGUGUAGUACGGCUUGCUGUGCAGCAUCGGGGCGGAGCAUGAGCGUACAUGUUGAGACCCGAAAGAUGGUGAACUAUGCUUGCGCAGGUUGAAGCCGGAGGAAACUCUGGUGGAGGACCGUAGCGAUUCUGACGUGCAAAUCGAUCGUAUGAUGUGAGUAUAGGGGCGAAAGACUAAUCGAACCAUCUAGUAGCUGGUUCCCUCCGAAGUUUCCCUCAGGAUAGCUGGUGCUCGGAGUGGUAAAACAGUUUUAUCCGGUAAAGCGAAUGAUUAGAGGUCUUGGGGCCUAAAUGGCCUCAACCUAUUCUCAAACUUUAAAUGGGUGAGACGCUGGGCUCGCUUAAUUGGAGUCUGGCCUUCGAAUGUGAGUGCCAAGUGGGCCAUUUUUGGUAAGCAGAACUGGCGCUGUGGGAUGAACCAAACGCCUGGUUAAGGUGCCUAACACAACGCUCAUGAGAUACCACAAAAGGUGUUGGUUGAUAUAGACAGCAGGACGGUGGCCCUGGUAGUCGGAAUCCGCUAAGGAGUGUGUAACAACUCACCUGCCGAAUCAACCAGCCCUGAAAAUGUAUGGCGCUGGAGCGUUGGACCUAUACCGGGCCGGCUGUGCAAGCCGAGCUCAGAAUGUGUUGCUUGAGAGCUUCGUGCAUGGCUCGGGCGCGAAUGCGCAGCCCGAGUAGGAGGGUCGCCGUGGUGAGCUGAGAAGCUUCGGGCGUGAGUCCGGGUGGAGCCGCCACGGGUGCAGAUCUUGGUGGUAGUAGCAAUUAUUCAAGUGAGAACCUUGAA